This is a long non-coding RNA of Herpailurus yagouaroundi (jaguarundi), 1093 nucleotides long. RefSeq lists it as uncharacterized. The record is from RefSeq and is a predicted model, not a curated record. NCBI's taxonomy places the organism in Eukaryota, Metazoa, Chordata, Mammalia, Carnivora, Felidae. The transcript has 2 exons.
UGCGUAUUGAGGGAAGACAAACCAACUGGGACAGACUUCGCUCCACGUUGCUUUUGAGGAAUACAGGAGAAAUUCCUGCAUAGAUGCCCAUGUUCACCUCCAUUCAUCUCCACCUGCAAAGAAACACAUGGAUCUGGCUUCUUUGUGGAUUCUCUUUGAGUCCUCUGACACUCCCAGGAGUGGUUCCUACGUGAGGGCAUGUCACUCAUCAUUCCCCAACCGCCACCCUGGGGUCAGCUCAGAGCUUGGAGGAAGUAGCCUCUGAGUAAGAGCGCCACCCGUGGUAGACAUAACCCACAGCUCCAUCGGCCCAGAUCACUUCCUGGGUGCAGCCCAGAUCACUUCCUGGGUGCCUGUGUGUGCCUCCUUCUGAUCCCAGGUUCUGUUCACCUCACCUGACACUUUCAGAGCCAGUUCUCAAUUCAGAUGAUAAUCUAGCACAAAAAAUAAAACGACCCUCACCUAAAAGAAGCCACAGCGGCAAAGGAAGACGCUCGGCCAUCAUUUCUUCUCAGCCCUCAGUUCCCUCACCCAGCCGUCCAAGCAGGUCAACAGAGGAUCAGAGUCAAAGCAGAUCCUGAAAACCUAUGAGCAAAAGAUCAGUAAGUCCAGCUCCAUCCCUAGGAACACCCCCAGGAACACAGGUUGGUGACCACCAACACUUUGCCCCACAUAAUUCAAUGCGCACACGACAGGCAAACAAAAUGAAUGGGAGCAUCUGUGUGGCACUUAAUUCAAGGUUAGGUACCAUCUGAAUGAUAGAGCCUGGGUUCCAAAGUUGUGAUAUAAUUUUACUUAUAUGUUUCGAGUCCUUAUUAUGUCUCGUAUAACCACUUAUAUCCCCAAAUCCUUUUCGGAAUCGUCCAAGAGAAGAAUCUCCAUGUGUCCCAAUCGAUGUUUAUUUGACCUUGGGUUACGAUAAAGAGCAGUGCCAUAUUCGUGCUAUAAUUUAAUACUGCUCUCAGCUGUUUCUAUUAUGAGUUCUGGACAUCCGGGAGCUCAUAAGAUGACUGGGAUUUGCAAAUUCUUCCCAUAUGUGUGGACUUGCAUAGACUUGCGAUGUUAAGAAAAUAAAAGCUCUAUUACAGCUGGA